GGGCCUAUAGCUCGGAGCUGGUAGUAGAGCGCACGCCUGAUAAGCGUGAGGUCGGUGGUUUGAGUCCACUUAGGCCCACCA
RNAcentral lists this transfer RNA (81 nucleotides) under Staphylococcus pseudintermedius. Its description in RNAcentral is "tRNA-Ile". It matches the Rfam family "tRNA". From Rfam's summary of the family: Transfer RNA (tRNA) molecules are approximately 80 nucleotides in length. Their secondary structure includes four short double-helical elements and three loops (D, anti-codon, and T loops). Further hydrogen bonds mediate the characteristic L-shaped molecular structure. tRNAs have two regions of fundamental functional importance: the anti-codon, which is responsible for specific mRNA codon recognition, and the 3' end, to which the tRNAs corresponding amino acid is attached (by aminoacyl-tRNA synthetases). tRNAs cope with the degeneracy of the genetic code in two manners: having more than one tRNA (with a specific anti-codon) for a particular amino acid; and 'wobble' base-pairing, i.e. permitting non-standard base-pairing at the 3rd anti-codon position. The record is from RNAcentral. Lineage: Bacteria; Bacillati; Bacillota; Bacilli; Caryophanales; Staphylococcaceae.